UAACAUUCCAUCCCCCCCGUUUGCUCACCAGUUUCUUCUACAAAAAACUUUCACAAUACAAAGCAGUGCUUGGCUGCACUGGCUGUUCUGUGCUCGGGCCUCUCUGAAAAGUCCCAGCAACAAGAAGAAUGGCCAACCUUCCAGCCAUGUCUUUGGCAAUGAUAAACCAUUGUGCAAACUGAAACUCUUCUCCUCCUGAGUGCAAGGAAUUAUCCUCUCCCAUCAUGUUACUGCAAGCACAUCAUCAAUGAGAUCUUCCCAUUGGUAUCAUCUCCUCGGUGUUGUUUAUAAAGCAGGUAUUUACUUUUUCUGCUUCUAUGCCACCAAUGGUUAAACUACUAAAUGCAAUAUUCGUUCUGAAUUAUGCAAGGUAGAAUCAAAAAAACUUCAUGGUUUUAUCUGCUACCUGAUGUCAGUACUGCGUAGCCAAUGACCUGAACACCAUUUAUUUUAGAAUCACAGAUGAUGCUAUCCAUUUCCUUAUGAUGUCAGCAGCCUUGUUAUUAACUGCUGCUGGAAGAAUCCUUAUGUGAGAAAGAAACUCUGAGCUCACAAUAAAUAUACUGUGAACAUGCAAGCUAUGACAGUGAGGUCAGGUAAAUGGUGACAGAGCAAUAUGCUCCAUCAGUGAUUUGAGGAGGUGGGACCAAGAUACAGUUGACCUAAGCAACCAAAGAUCAGGCCUCAGUGUGUAGUUAGUAGAAAGAAGGUAAACUGACGAUGGAAUCAAACAUCUUUGUUAUCUUGGCAAGUCUGUGUGUUUCCAUAGCGUUGCUCUUUUUCUCUAAACACUGAAUGAAUCAA
Molecule: long non-coding RNA, 804 nt
Filed under: Cairina moschata (Muscovy duck)
Lineage: Eukaryota; Metazoa; Chordata; Aves; Anseriformes; Anatidae
Description: domestica (muscovy Duck (domestic type)) lncRNA (ENSCMMG00000001599.1)
Source: RNAcentral